This 359-nucleotide ribosomal RNA is filed under the name uncultured bacterium. RNAcentral's name for it is "partial 16S ribosomal RNA". It matches the Rfam family "Bacterial small subunit ribosomal RNA", at positions 338 to 694 of the family's 1533-position model. The record is from RNAcentral.
CCUACGGGAGGCAGCAGUGAGGAAUAUUGGUCAAUGGACGAGAGUCUGAACCAGCCAAGUAGCGUGAAGGAUGACUGCCCUAUGGGUUGUAAACUUCUUUUAUAUGGGAAUAAAGUGUUCCACGUAUGCGAUUUUGUAUGUACCAUAUGAAUAAGGAUCGGCUAACUCCGUGCCAGCAGCCGCGGUAAUACGGAGGAUCCGAGCGUUAUCCGGAUUUAUUGGGUUUAAAGGGAGCGUAGGUGGACGCUUAAGUCAGUUGUGAAAGUUUGCGGCUCAACCGGAAAAUUGCAGUUGAUACUGGGUGUGUGGAGUGCAACAGAGGGAGGCGGAAGACGUGGUGGAGCGGUGAAAGGAAGAGA